RNAcentral lists this ribosomal RNA (375 nucleotides) under Triticum aestivum (bread wheat). RNAcentral's name for it is "partial small subunit ribosomal RNA". Lineage: Eukaryota; Viridiplantae; Streptophyta; Magnoliopsida; Poales; Poaceae. The record is from RNAcentral.
AUGGAAGGGGACGAAACGGCCGUCGUGGCGGCGGUGGAGGCUGAGGUUGUGGGGUCGGUGAAGACGGAGGAGCACAUCAUGAUCCGGAUCGAGUCCCUGAACAAGAAGUACGGCAGCAACGUGCCGCUGCUCCUGAUGAAUUCCUUCAACACCCAUCAGGACACGUUGAAGAUUGUCGAGAAAUACGCCAAUUCAAACAUCCAAAUCCAUACAUUCAACCAGAGCCAGUAUCCUCGUGUCGUGGCCUUCCAGGGGGAGGACCGUCAAGGAUGGGUGGUAAAACAUUCAUAUGCAUCGCCCGUUAAGGAUGGCUGGCCGACGAGUUCUGAAUAUUGUGACGUUGAAACUCCAAUUAGUGUAUACAGCGAGAUAUAA